CUUUGGCGAUGGAGUGAGGUUUCAACGUCACUGGGAAAGUUUACUCUAAUGACAGUUGUUUCGUUUCUGACCUCAGCAUCGGAGUUUCCUGAUAAGACAGAUGUAUCAGCAGAGUUUAAAGCGGAGCUACUCUGACAAACAUGGCUAUUUCCCCACCCUCUGGAAUUAUUACCCAACCGGAGAUGCAGCAGAAUCAAUGGCCCCCGGUUGGCAGCUAAUUGGAAAGAGGCAGCGCCGGAGAACUUAAUUGUGACACACAGCAGCCCCU
Long non-coding RNA from Sphaerodactylus townsendi, 268 nucleotides. RefSeq lists it as uncharacterized. The transcript has 3 exons. The record is from RefSeq and is a predicted model, not a curated record. NCBI's taxonomy places the organism in Eukaryota, Metazoa, Chordata, Lepidosauria, Squamata, Sphaerodactylidae.